UACGUACGAGGCGAGCGUUAUCCGGAAUUACUGGGCGUAAAGGGUGCGCAGGUGGCGGCGCGCGUGGGGGGUGAAAUCGCCCGGCUUAACUGGGCGGGGGCCUUCCAGACGGCGUAGCUUGAGCAGCGGAGGGGGACGUGGAAUUCCGGGUGGAGCGGUGAAAUGCGUAGAUAUCGGGAGGAACACCAGCGGCGAAGGCGGGCACCUGGGCCAACACUGACGCUGAUGCGCGAAAGCUAGGGGAGCAAACAGG
This 253-nucleotide ribosomal RNA is filed under the name uncultured bacterium. Its description in RNAcentral is "partial 16S ribosomal RNA". It matches the Rfam family "Bacterial small subunit ribosomal RNA", at positions 524 to 776 of the family's 1533-position model. The record is from RNAcentral.